Molecule: long non-coding RNA, 461 nt
Organism: Mus musculus (house mouse)
Lineage: Eukaryota; Metazoa; Chordata; Mammalia; Rodentia; Muridae
Product: predicted gene, 36544
Exons: 4
Source: RefSeq, a predicted model, not a curated record
GUGCAGAGGAAAGACAAACAGAGUAUCCUGUAGCACUGUGAGCCAUGGGGUAUGCUGGAUACAACAUGGUGACUGCCAGAACUAUGUGCCAGGGCUCCAGAUCCCAACAGAGAUGACUCAUCUAGCAAGACUGGCUUUGCGAGCUCCACAUUUUAAUGGAGAAAGUGGUGGUAUAAAAGCUACCAUUGAUCUGUAAGGCGGGUGUUCAUGAAGGAUGCACAACAUCCUACCAAGUUGAAGCUUUUACUAAGGGUCCUUCACACUUAGUGUCUUCCAAUAUGCUUUAAAUGCAUCUAUGUCGACAAUGAACUAUUCAUUUUCAUUGAUGAAAUCCUGAUUUCACCUGGGGCAGCACUGACAAGAGAAUGCAGUUCUGUCUUACACGCGUUUCGGCCGGCCAGGAAAGACGCAACAAACCGGAAUCUUCUGCGGCAAAACUUUAUUGCUUACAUCUUCAGGAG